GAUUCGUCACACUAUCAUUAACUGAAUCCAUAGGUUAAUGAGGCGAACCGGGGGAACUGAAACAUCUAAGUACCCCGAGGAAAAGAAAUCAACCGAGAUUCCCCCAGUAGCGGCGAGCGAACGGGGAGGAGCCCAGAGCCUGAAUCAGCAUGUGUGUUAGUGGAAGCGUCUGGAAAGGCGCGCGAUACAGGGUGACAGCCCCGUACACAAAAGCGCAUGUGCUGUGAGCUCGAUGAGUAGGGCGGGACACGUGGUAUCCUGUCUGAAUAUGGGGGGACCAUCCUCCAAGGCUAAAUACUCCUGACUGACCGAUAGUGAACCAGUACCGUGAGGGAAAGGCGAAAAGAACCCCGGCGAGGGGAGUGAAAAAGAACCUGAAACCGUGUACGUACAAGCAGUGGGAGCACAGGUUUACCUGUGUGACUGCGUACCUUUUGUAUAAUGGGUCAGCGACUUAUAUUCUGUAGCAAGGUUAACCGAAUAGGGGAGCCGGAGGGAAACCGAGUCUUAAUUGGGCGUUAAGUUGCAGGGUAUAGACCCGAAACCCGGUGAUCUAGCCAUGGGCAGGUUGAAGGUUGGGUAACACUAACUGGAGGACCGAACCGACUAAUGUUGAAAAAUUAGCGGAUGACCUGUGGCUGGGGGUGAAAGGCCAAUCAAACCGGGAGAUAGCUGGUUCUCCCCGAAAGCUAUUUAGGUAGCGCCUCGUGAAUUCAUCUCCGGGGGUAGAGCACUGUUUCGGCUAGGGGGCCAUCCCGGCUUACCAACCCGAUGCAAACUGCGAAUACCGGAGAAUGUUAUCACGGGAGACACACGGCGGGUGCUAACGUCCGUCGUGAAGAGGGAAACAACCCAGACCGCCAGCUAAGGUCCCAAAGUCAUGGUUAAGUGGGAAACGAUGUGGGAAGGCCCAGACAGCCAGGAUGUUGGCUUAGAAGCAGCCAUCAUUUAAAGAAAGCGUAAUAGCUCACUGGUCGAGUCGGCCUGCGCGGAAGAUGUAACGGGGCUAAACCAUGCACCGAAGCUGCGGCAGCGAACGUAUCACUUAAAGCGAUUCAGCGGGUUACGAUUGACGGAGCGAAGCGACGUCAAAGCGUAUACAAAGUCGAGUCGGUUUAAGGAUACGUUCGUUGGGUAGGGGAGCGUUCUGUAAGCCUGUGAAGGUGGCCUGUGAGGGUUGCUGGAGGUAUCAGAAGUGCGAAUGCUGACAUAAGUAACGAUAAAGCGGGUGAAAAGCCCGCUCGCCGGAAGACCAAGGGUUCCUGUCCAACGUUAAUCGGGGCAGGGUGAGUCGACCCCUAAGGCGAGGCCGAAAGGCGUAGUCGAUGGGAAACGGGUUAAUAUUCCCGUACUUGGUGUUACUGCGAAGGGGGGACGGAGAAGGCUAUGUUGGCCGGGCGACGGUUGUCCCGGUUUAAGCGUGUAGGUGUGUGUUCCAGGUAAAUCCGGUUCACUUUAACACUGAGGCGUGAUGACGAGGCACUACGGUGCUGAAGCAACAAAUGCCCUGCUUCCAGGAAAAGCCUCUAAGCAUCAGGUAACAUCAAAUCGUACCCCA
RNAcentral lists this ribosomal RNA (1558 nucleotides) under Salmonella enterica subsp. enterica. RNAcentral describes it as "partial 23S ribosomal RNA". It matches the Rfam family "Bacterial large subunit ribosomal RNA", at positions 137 to 1651 of the family's 2925-position model. The record is from RNAcentral. Lineage: Bacteria; Pseudomonadati; Pseudomonadota; Gammaproteobacteria; Enterobacterales; Enterobacteriaceae.